This 94-nucleotide ribosomal RNA is filed under the name Klebsiella pneumoniae. The record is from RNAcentral. Lineage: Bacteria; Pseudomonadati; Pseudomonadota; Gammaproteobacteria; Enterobacterales; Enterobacteriaceae.
UCCCACCUGACCCCAUGCCGAACUCAGAAGUGAAACGCCGUAGCGCCGAUGGUAGUGUGGGGUCUCCCUAUGUGAGAGUCGGUAACUGCCAGGC